CCUACGGGCGGCAGCAGUGGGGAAUAUUGCACAAUGGGGGAAACCCUGAUGCAGCGACGCCGCGUGAGUGAAGAAGUAAUUCGUUAUGUAAAGCUCUAUCAGCAGGGAAGAAAAUGACGGUACCUGAGUAAGAAGCCCCGGCUAACUACGUACCAGCAGCCGCGGUAAUACGUAGGGGGCAAGCGUUAUACGGAUUUACUGGGUGUAAAGGGAGCGUAGACGGCAGUGCAAGUUGGGAGGGAAAGGCGGGGGCUCAACCCCCGGACUGCUGUGGAAACUGUACGGCUGGAGUGCAGGAGAGGUAAGUGGAAUUCCUAGUGUAGCGGUGAAAUGCGUAGAUAUUAGGAGGAACACCAGUGGCGAAGGCGGCUUACUGGACUGUAACUGACGUUGAGGCUCGAAAGCGUGGGGAGCGAACAGGAUUAGAUACCCCAGUAGUC
This 440-nucleotide ribosomal RNA is filed under the name uncultured bacterium. RNAcentral's name for it is "partial 16S ribosomal RNA". It matches the Rfam family "Bacterial small subunit ribosomal RNA", at positions 338 to 795 of the family's 1533-position model. The record is from RNAcentral.